This 195-nucleotide ribosomal RNA is filed under the name uncultured Pseudomonas sp. Its description in RNAcentral is "partial 16S ribosomal RNA". It matches the Rfam family "Bacterial small subunit ribosomal RNA", at positions 337 to 525 of the family's 1533-position model. The record is from RNAcentral. Lineage: Bacteria; Pseudomonadati; Pseudomonadota; Gammaproteobacteria; Pseudomonadales; Pseudomonadaceae.
UCCUACGGAGGCAGCAGUGGGGAAUAUUGGACAAUGGGCGAAAGCCUGAUCCAGCCAUGCCGCGUGUGUGAAGAAGGUCUUCGGAUUGUAAAGCACUUUAAGUUGGGAGGAAGGGCAGUAAGUUAAUACCUUGCUGUUUUGACGUUACCGACAGAAUAAGCACCGGCUAACUCUGUGCCAGCAGCCGCGGUAAUA